RNAcentral lists this ribosomal RNA (327 nucleotides) under uncultured eukaryote. Its description in RNAcentral is "partial 18S ribosomal RNA". It matches the Rfam family "Eukaryotic small subunit ribosomal RNA", at positions 1470 to 1796 of the family's 1831-position model. The record is from RNAcentral.
CCCUUAGAUGUUCUGGGCCGCACACGCGCUACACUGAAGGAGGCAGCGUGUACUCCUGGAUCGAAAGAUUUGGGUAACCCGCGAAUCUCCUUCGUGCUAGGGAUUGAGGUUUGCAAUUAUCCUUCAUGAACGAGGAAUUCCCAGUAAGUGCAAGUCAUAAGCUUGCGCUGACUACGUCCCUGCCCUUUGUACACACCGCCCGUCGCUACUACCGAUUGAAUGAUUUAGUGAGGACUUCGGACUGGGACCGAUGCGGCUUUCGGGCUGCGUUGGUAUUUCGGAAAGAUGUCCAAACUGUAUCAUUUAGAGGAAGUAAAANUCGUAACA